GACGAACGCUGGCGGCGUGCCUAAUACAUGCAAGUCGAACGCUGAAGGAGGAGCUUGCUUCUCUGGAUGAGUUGCGAACGGGUGAGUAACGCGUAGGUAACCUGCCUGGUAGCGGGGGAUAACUAUUGGAAACGAUAGCUAAUACCGCAUAAUAGUAGAUGUUGCAUGACAUUUGCUUAAAAGGUGCAAUUGCAUCACUACCAGAUGGACCUGCGUUGUAUUAGCUAGUUGGUGGGGUAACGGCUCACCAAGGCGACGAUACAUAGCCGACCUGAGAGGGUGGUCGGCCACACUGGGACUGAGACACGGCCCAGACUCCUACGGGGGGCCGCAGUAGGGGAUCUUCGGCAAUGGACGGAAGGCUGACCGAGCAACGCCGCGUGAGUGGAGAAGGUUUUCGGAUCGUAAAGCUCUGUUGUAAGAGAAGAACGAGUGUGAGAGUGGAAAGUUCACACUGUGACGGUAUCUUACCAGAAAGGGACGGCUAACUACGUG
This 495-nucleotide ribosomal RNA is filed under the name uncultured bacterium. RNAcentral's name for it is "partial 16S ribosomal RNA". It matches the Rfam family "Bacterial small subunit ribosomal RNA", at positions 28 to 507 of the family's 1533-position model. The record is from RNAcentral.